Molecule: long non-coding RNA, 564 nt
Filed under: Bos indicus x Bos taurus (hybrid cattle)
Lineage: Eukaryota; Metazoa; Chordata; Mammalia; Artiodactyla; Bovidae
Description: lncRNA (ENSBIXG00000015363.1)
Source: RNAcentral
CACUAUUCACUGCCCAACAUUUAAUGUCUGUCUUCUUCCCCCCUAACUCUCCCAUUUAAGGAGCAAUACUGCAAAUGUGUUUGUUUACAAAAUCUUUGUGUGGAACAGUUUAAAUGAUUAUUUUUUGAGGCAUAAUUUAGGACAUCUGGGAAUAAAUUUGUGUAAACAAAUUCCUUUUGUUCCUUCUCCCUCAGCCCCCAAUCCUACACAGCAAUUGGACUUUAUCAUCCGGAGGCAAAAAAAAAAAAAAAAAAACUGGAAUAUUUCAGCCAAAUGACACUAACCUGAGAAGAGUUUGCAUUUUCAGUCCAGCCACUGGCAUGACCUUUUGGAAUAAAGGUGACUCUGGACCAAUCUUGAUAAAAUUACUGUCAUUACAGUGGAAAAGUUUAUUUUUUUCCCCCUUGUCCUCAAAGCAGAAGACUGCGGCACGGCACCGUUUGUAUGAAGUUUGAAUUUGAGACUUGGUUGAACCAACAGCCAUGCUUUCAGAAGUUUCAGAGAAUGCAUCAACAAGGAAUUAGGGAAGUUGAUUGUGUGAGGACAUGAGAGUUUCCAAGACAG